GCGGGUGUGGCGGAAUUGGCAGACGCACCAGACUUAGGAUCUGGCGCCGGAAGGCGUGGGGGUUCAAAUCCCUUCACCCGCA
RNAcentral lists this transfer RNA (82 nucleotides) under Caldibacillus debilis. Its description in RNAcentral is "tRNA-Leu". It matches the Rfam family "tRNA". From Rfam's summary of the family: Transfer RNA (tRNA) molecules are approximately 80 nucleotides in length. Their secondary structure includes four short double-helical elements and three loops (D, anti-codon, and T loops). The record is from RNAcentral. RNAcentral also lists the same sequence under 2 other names. Lineage: Bacteria; Bacillati; Bacillota; Bacilli; Caryophanales; Bacillaceae.